GACGAACGCUGGCGGCGUGCUUAGCACAUGCAAGUCGAACGGAAAGGCCCUGCUUUUGUGGGGUGCUCGAGUGGCGAACGGGUGAGUAACACGUGAGUAACCUGCCCUUGACUUUGGGAUAACUUCAGGAAACUGGGGCUAAUACCGGAUAGGAGCUCCUGCUGCAUGGUGGGGGUUGGAAAGUUUCGGCGGUUGGGGAUGGACUCGCGGCUUAUCAGCUUGUUGGUGGGGUAGUGGCUUACCAAGGCUUUGACGGGUAGCCGGCCUGAGAGGGUGACCGGCCACAUUGGGACUGAGAUACGGCCCAGACUCCUACGGGAGGCAGCAGUGGGGAAUAUUGCACAAUGGGCGGAAGCCUGAUGCAGCAACGCCGCGUGCGGGAUGACGGCCUUCGGGUUGUAAACCGCUUUCGCCUGUGACGAAGCGUGAGUGACGGUAAUGGGUAAAGAAGCACCGGCUAACUACGUGCCAGCAGCCGCGGUGAUACGUAGGGUGCGAGCGUUGUCCGGAUUUAUUGGGCGUAAAGGGCUCGUAGGUGGUUGAUCGCGUCGGAAGUGUAAUCUUGGGGCUUAACCCUGAGCGUGCUUUCGAUACGGGUUGACUUGAGGAAGGUAGGGGAGAAUGGAAUUCCUGGUGGAGCGGUGGAAUGCGCAGAUAUCAGGAGGAACACCAGUGGCGAAGGCGGUUCUCUGGGCCUUUCCUGACGCUGAGGAGCGAAAGCGUGGGGAGCGAACAGGCUUAGAUACCCUGGUAGUCCACGCUGUAAACGGUGGGUACUAGGUGUGGGGUCCAUUCCACGGGUUCCGUGCCGUAGCUAACGCUUUAAGUACCCCGCCUGGGGAGUACGGCCGCAAGGCUAAAACUCAAAGGAAUUGACGGGGCCCCGCACAAGCGGCGGAGCAUGCGGAUUAAUUCGAUGCAACGCGUAGAACCUUACCUGGGUUUGACAUGGAUCGGGAGUGCUCAGAGAUGGGUGUGCCUCUUUUGGGGUCGGUUCACAGGUGGUGCAUGGCUGUCGUCAGCUCGUGUCGUGAGAUGUUGGGUUAAGUCCCGCAACGAGCGCAACCCUUGUUCACUGUUGCCAGCACGUUAUGGUGGGGACUCAGUGGAGACCGCCGGGGUCAACUCGGAGGAAGGUGGGGAUGACGUCAAGUCAUCAUGCCCCUUAUGUCCAGGGCUUCACGCAUGCUACAAUGGCUGGUACAGAGAGUGGCGAGCCUGUGAGGGUGAGCGAAUCUCGGAAAGCCGGUCUCAGUUCGGAUUGGGGUCUGCAACCCGACCUCAUGAAGUCGGAGUCGCUAGUAAUCGCAGAUCAGCAACGCUGCGGUGAAUACGUUCCCGGG
RNAcentral lists this ribosomal RNA (1343 nucleotides) under uncultured bacterium. RNAcentral describes it as "16S ribosomal RNA". It matches the Rfam family "Bacterial small subunit ribosomal RNA", at positions 28 to 1378 of the family's 1533-position model. The record is from RNAcentral.